CCACAUCAAGGGAUUUGUUACAUUAGAAUGGAUCAAACCCUUAAAAAUAGUUAGAAUUUAUCCAUUUCUUUUUUUGUUGAGAAAUUCUAUGAUUGCAUUCAUAAUUCAGCCAAAAAAACCACUAGCCACAAAUGGCUAAUACAAACUAGCCACAAAAGGGCAAUUACAAUAACGGAGCGGUCUAAUAUCAAAAUUAAGACAAUAUGGUGUGUCUCCACUAACGAUCAGACAGUAUCGAAGAAACUCUGGCAUAGGCAUCCCAACUAAGAUUGUAAACUUACAAUAAUAAAAAAUAGAUAAAGCUUGAAAAAACCAAGCCAUAACAAUACAAAUAAAACUCUCACAAAAGGAGAGAUGAAGAGCUCUCACAAAGGAGAGAUGGAAAACUCUCACAAAAGAAGAGGUGAAAACUACAAAGAGAACCCAAAGAGUCUCUGCAACUUAUUCCAAACAUAAAGAAAUUGCAAAAAGAUGGUGGUGGAGAUCCGACGCCGAAAUGCAGGUGAAGAUUCGAUUCUGAGCCGCAGCCGCCUAUAAUGAUUGGAUAAAAAUCAUAACAAAACUAAGACAAAUAGGGAAAACCCUGUCUCUGAAAAUAGGGGAAGAGGUGAAAGGAGAAAGAGAAGAGAGGAGAGGGGGGAAGAAUAAUGGCUUCCUCCCCCUCAAAGUGAAAAAGGCUCUAAAAAUAUUUUUUGGGAAAAAAGGGGCUAGAGUUUUUUUAGAAGAAAAGGGACUAGGGUUUAUUAUUCGAUAUUUU
This 757-nucleotide long non-coding RNA is filed under the name Prunus dulcis (almond). Its description in RNAcentral is "sRNA ncRNA". Lineage: Eukaryota; Viridiplantae; Streptophyta; Magnoliopsida; Rosales; Rosaceae. The record is from RNAcentral.